GGAGGAAUGGAGUGCUGUGGUGGUAGGAAUAACAUCUACAAUUGAAUGCUUCUUGUCAUGGAAAUUUCUGGUUGUUUGCUUCAUGUUAUUUUUGAAGAUGUGGCUAACUCUGAAUAGACAGUGCAGCCAAUCACAUCCAGAAGUAACAGAGUCAAGAACAGCUGGUUAGUGAGGCUGAGUGCAAGGGUGAGAAUCAUCUGUUCCACAGAAGCCUCAACGCAGCAUUGUAUAGUUCACCAUUCAGAUAAGU
This 250-nucleotide long non-coding RNA is filed under the name Gallus gallus (chicken). RNAcentral's name for it is "long non-coding RNA NONGGAT003904". The record is from RNAcentral. Lineage: Eukaryota; Metazoa; Chordata; Aves; Galliformes; Phasianidae.